AUAUAUCAGCAUAUAAUCAUAUUAUGCAUAAUCAGAUUCGGAUUUAAUAAUUUAAUCAGAACCAAAGCUCUGAUACCACUGAAGGGAUUUAAGAGGGGUUUUUCAAAAAUUAAUCCUCUUAGCGGAACAAUCCCGAUGAACGGAUCUUGAUUAAACCAUUAAUCACAAAUCAACGAACACAAAACCACAAGUUUAUGNNNNNNNNAGUAGAAACUAUUUCUGAUCACGAGCAAAGCAAAGUAGCGAUGCGUCUACUCAGUCCACACGAACAGAACUUCUCCGAUGACCGGUGCUAGCCAAUUCCACCAGAGAUUCAGAGAGAACGGGGUUUAGAGAGCGGCGGCUAGGUUUCUAAAUUUUAGGACUAACUCUGAGGUUAAAAUUCAGCACAUAAGUGUAUUCUUUUUAUAGACUUAUUUGAGUAUCCACCGUACCUUACGGUGUGCUGUAUUUCACUUAAGUGCACCAUACUUUACGGUGUGCCGCGCUUCUCUAAUUAAAUAAUAAGUCAUACUUAAUUAUUUAAUUACUAAUAAGUUCUACUUAUUAUUUUAUAAAUAAGUCUUACUUAUUUAUUUCUCUCAUCUAUCUGUCCUUUGUGUGUGACCCUAUAGGUUAUCGUAACGUUGGCAAUAAUAUUAAAUCACAUAUUUAAUAUUAUAAACAGUGAGCGGUAUCUAGCAACACAUCACUGCUACCCAAGUGACGAGAAUGUCAUGUGAUCUGACNNNNNNNNNNNNNNNNNNNNNNNNNNNNNNNNNNNNNNNNNNNUAACGAUCGUGUGUAUAAUUACCCCUUUGCCCUUAUAUCUAUAUUGAACACAAGGCAUAGAUCGUGUCAUCCUUGUAUGGUUCAAUAUCUUAUUUCUUGAUCCCAGAAUUACUGAGUAACGAAUAAGCUCAAUAUCUCAUAUUGACUUAGUUCGGCGUGGCCACGCAUUUUAUCAGUCAUAUUCCAUCAAGAGGCCCGUAGAUAUUACUCCUGUUAUGCAUGAGGGGCAAAUUCCAUCUAGGUCACUCAUGUCCCUCAGCAUGAUUUGUGGAGUACCCAUCAACCGACU
Molecule: long non-coding RNA, 1060 nt
Filed under: Trifolium pratense (red clover)
Lineage: Eukaryota; Viridiplantae; Streptophyta; Magnoliopsida; Fabales; Fabaceae
Description: long non-coding RNA (TPRA_LNC006572)
Source: RNAcentral